CGAGUGAAGCGGGAAGAGCUCAAAUUUGAAAUCUGGUGGCCUCAGGCUAUCCGAGUUGUAAUCUAUAGAAACAUUUUCCGCGUUGGCCCAUGUACAAGUCUCUUGGAAUAGAGCGUCAUAGAGGGUGAGAAUCCCGUCCUUGACAUGGACUACCAGUGCUUUGUGAUAUGUUUUCAACGAGUCGAGUUGUUUGGGAAUGCAGCUCAAAAUGGGUGGUAAAUUCCAUCUAAAGCUAAAUAUUGGCGAGAGACCGAUAGCGAACAAGUACCGUGAGGGAAAGAUGAAAAGCACUUUGGAAAGAGAGUUAAACAGUAUGUGAAAUUGUUGAAAGGGAAACGAUUGAAGUCAGUCGUGUCUAUUGGACUCAGCCGGUUCUGCCGGUGUACUUCCUUUAGAUGGGGUCAACAUCAGUUUUGAUCGCUGGAAAAGGGCAGGAGGAAUGUAGCACUCUCGGGUGAACUUAUAGCCUUCUGUCGCAUACAGUGGUUGGGACUGAGGAACGCAGCUUGCCUUUAUGGCCGGGAUUUAUCCACGUACAAGCUUAGG
This 546-nucleotide ribosomal RNA is filed under the name Solicoccozyma terricola. RNAcentral's name for it is "LSU rRNA". It matches the Rfam family "Eukaryotic large subunit ribosomal RNA", at positions 90 to 621 of the family's 3401-position model. The record is from RNAcentral. Lineage: Eukaryota; Fungi; Basidiomycota; Tremellomycetes; Filobasidiales; Piskurozymaceae.